This 1186-nucleotide non-coding RNA is filed under the name Pan troglodytes (chimpanzee). Lineage: Eukaryota; Metazoa; Chordata; Mammalia; Primates; Hominidae. The record is from RNAcentral.
AGACACACAGAGAGGACAGAUGAUGAGAAGACAGAGAGAAGACAGCCGUCUAUAAGCCAAGGAAUGCCAGAGCUCCUGGAAGCUGGGAGAGAGGCAGGGACAGAUCCUCCCGCACUGUCUCAGAAGGAACCAGCCCUGCAGACACCUUGAUGUCGGCUUUCAGCCUCCAGAGCUGUGAGACCAUACAUUUCUGAUGUCUAAGCUGCCCAGUCUGUGGCAGUUUGUGACCUCAGCCCCAGGAAACCAGUACAAAGAGCUUAAGGAGCUGAACCCAGGGAGUUGGGCAGCAAGGCAGCACCAUGCUGACAGCAGGGGUUGGCUCCCCCAGGGCAUAGAGGAUGCCCAGUGGGGAGGCCCCACUUCCUCCAGGUCCUGCAGUGCCUGCUCUCAGGUCAUGCCCAUCCACAGCGGGGUGCUGAAUGCACUGCACAUCCUACAUACGCCAAAACGGCCAAGGCGUGCACAGGAUUCAGCAUCAGGCUCACUGCUGCUAGGAAGUGCCACCGCCAAGGGGACAGGAGGCUGGGAGAGACAUGCAGGCUCAUUUUCAUCUCCAAACACCCCAAACAGGAAGCCUAGAGAGACAACCACAGAUGCAGGGCAUCAGCCCCACGGAUGCCUGGGGUCCCACGCAGACGCAGGGCAUCAGCCCCACGGACGCCUGGGGUCCCACGCAGACGCACGGCAUCAGCCCCACGGACGCCUGGGGUCCCACGCAGACGCAGGGCAUCAGCCCCACGGACGCCUGGGGUUCCACGCAGACACAGGGCAUUGGCACCAUGGGUGCCCGGCAUCCCACCCAGUUGUGAGGCACCAGCAUCAAGGAUGCCCAGGGUCCCCCCAGACACAGGGCAUGGGCACCACAGAGACGCCUGGUGUCCCACCCAGCCCAGGGUGGCUUUCAGCCAAGCCUCCCCAAAUGAUCCAUAAACCCAAUUUCAUAAACAAAGGCACAUUUUUUCAAAAGAAAACUGAGACUAUUUUGUGGCGAUAGCCUUCAGGGUUGGAAAGAAAAUAAGAGUCUGCAAAUUUAGUUUUUCCAUUAAACUACAGGGAUAACAAUUAUUCCUUUUGAGAAACAUUGAGUCCAAAGAAAAGUUUUGAUUUUUUGAUCAUGUAACUUGGAUUCCAAGACUGCUACACACUUCUGGUUCCCCCCCAAAAAACUAAAAAAAAGAUGAACUCA